RNAcentral lists this non-coding RNA (161 nucleotides) under bovine gut metagenome. RNAcentral describes it as "Lysine riboswitch". It matches the Rfam family "Lysine riboswitch aptamer". From Rfam's summary of the family: Riboswitches are metabolite binding domains within certain messenger RNAs that serve as precision sensors for their corresponding targets. Allosteric rearrangement of mRNA structure is mediated by ligand binding, and this results in modulation of gene expression. The record is from RNAcentral.
UAAUGAUAGAGGUGCAAAUGCUAUCAGUAUCGUCCGUCUAUGACUUCCGCAAAGUUACGGCUGACGUGAAAGGAGUAUUUGCCGAAGAGUUCCGAGGCGAAAGGAAACUCUGGGAGGACGAAUAAUAUUCGUUCGACUGUCGCAAAUGCGGAGUGCUAUCU